AAGCUGUAUAAAAAGAAUGGUAAAACAUCAGAGAAAAAAUAAUGUUUUCCCCACUGUAACUAGGUAACAGAGGUUUCCUGGAUCAUCACUGGUAAAGGCUCUGAGGUGAACGACAACCAGUGUACCAGUGUUGGGGACACGUUUAACCCCUUCAACAUGGAAGCUGGGAACUCCAGUUGUUCCCGUGACAACGCUCUGAGUUGUGAGGUGGGAGACCUGACGAACAGACAGGGGACAGUCAGCCUGACACACAGACAGCUGUACACCGACACCAGCAUACAACUGGCUGGGGACUACACAGUGGUCCACAGGUCCCUGGUCCUGAGGAGCGGCAGCGAUGUCUUCGCGUGUGCCGUCAUUCUUCCAGAAUCCCCCUGGGCAGAGCAGACCUUCCCCAACGUCAUGUCUUUCAGCAGAUAUGACUUCCGCAAUAGGGUGGCAGAGGUCCUAGAGGUGAACAUGUCCAGGGUCACCAUCCUUCCAGGGUCUCCUCUGACCACAGUGGACGGACCAUGCCAGAAAGUCAGCUUCCUUGUCUCAGGGGAGGUGAGUACGGACAAGAUGAACUCUAUCAAAGACAGUGAGAAGAUGGGCAUCUUCAAGCAGACAGAAGGUUGCUCAAGAAGUUCUGGACAACUGCUGGAGCCUGGGAGAUAUCUGGUGAUGUUGACGAUAGCUGCAGCCUACUUCCUACACUCUCUGAUCCAGCAGUAGUUUAUACUGUAGAUCUAGGUUUGCAUCCCAAAUGGCACCCUAUUCCCCAUAUAGUGCACUACUUCUGACCAGAGACUUUUAAAACAUUUUAUUUUUUAUUUCACCUUUAUUUAACCAGGUUUGCCAGUUGAGAACAAGUUCUCAUUUACAACUGCGACCUGGCCAAGUUAAAGCAAAGCAGUGCGACACAAACAACACGGAUUUACACAUGGAAUAAACAAAUGUACAGUCAAUAACACAAUAGAAAAAAUCUAUAUACAGUGUGUGCAAAUGAGGUAAGAUUAGGGAGGUAAGGCAAUAAAUAGGCCGUAGUGGCGAAGUCAUUACAAUUUAGCAAUUAAACACUGGAGUGAUAGAUGUGCAGAAUGAAUGUGCAAGUAGAGAUACUGGGGUGCAAAGGAGCCAAAAAAUAAAUAAAAAAAUAACAAUAUGGGGAUGAGGUAGUUGGAUGGGCUAUUUACAGAUGGCCUAUGUACAGGUGCAAUGAUCUGUGAGCUGCUCUGACAGCUGAUGCUUAAAGUUAGUGAGGAAGAUAUGAGUCUCCAGCUUCAGUGAUUUUUGCAACUCAUUCCAGUCAUUGGCAGCAGAGAACUGGAAGGAAAGGCGGCCAAAGAAGGAAUUGACAUUGGGGGUGACCAGUGAAAUAUACCUGCUGGAGCGCGUGCUAUGGGUGGGUGCUGCUAUGGUGACCAGUGAGUUGAGAUAAGGCGGGGUUUUACCUAGCAAAGACUUGGGCUUUGGUCAAAAGUAGUGCACUGUAUAGGGAAUAGGGUGCCAUUUGGGCAUUGCCCUAACCCUCACUCUGAAUCAACACUGGAACUGUCAAAUAUUCCUAUUUUCUAAACUGCAAUGAAGUCUAUAUUUUGAUGAUCGUUUUGUCAUUGAUCUGAAUGGUGUGGGUUUGAAUUUGCUCUUGAAGCAAGCAUUUUGUUGUUUAUUCGUUUUUUAUCCUAGAUAUAAAAAAUAUAUAUACUUUAGAUGCCAACUAAAUGCCAACUUCCUGUAUUAUAUUGUAAAUAUUCCACGUUUGGGUAAAUAUGUAUACUGUUUCAGCCCAAUAUCCACAACAUCAAAGCAAACGUAAUAGAGCAACAAUUGUUCAUUGUCCUUCCCUGUCCAAUUACUGUAUCAAAAAUGCAAUUUGAAGGAAAGAGAUGCUGUAAAUGUUUGCAAAUGUGUCCCAUUGUAUGUAUGCAUUGUUUUCUCAUGCAUUAAUGUAUUAAACUGCCACUUUCCCAUUUAAGGUGAAUUUCCAAGUCUUGCAUAUAUGUUUUUAUUGAGUAACCAUAAAAAUAAUAUGUGAUGAUGAAAAAAAAAUAUUUGGAUAAAUACGGAUUAUUGAAAACGUGAAUUUCAUGAAAUCUCUAUAGGC
RNAcentral lists this long non-coding RNA (2086 nucleotides) under Salmo salar (Atlantic salmon). RNAcentral describes it as "lncRNA (ENSSSAG00000094099.1)". The record is from RNAcentral. Lineage: Eukaryota; Metazoa; Chordata; Actinopteri; Salmoniformes; Salmonidae.